Long non-coding RNA from Columba livia (rock pigeon), 535 nucleotides. RefSeq lists it as uncharacterized. The transcript has 4 exons. The record is from RefSeq and is a predicted model, not a curated record. Lineage: Eukaryota; Metazoa; Chordata; Aves; Columbiformes; Columbidae.
CUUUUGCCUGUAUUGGCCAAUUUAGCCCCCAAAUAUUUGGAAUAUUUAGUCAUUUCUCCAGUUUUCUCCCUAAAUAGGGCUAUUUCUCUGCAAUAGAUGGGCAUUGUUUCUCUCUUCUUUAUGUCCUCUUUUACCCGAAAUGCAGGAGUAUUGCUCUGUGAGCCUGGAAACCUCUCUGGUCUGUGCUUGACUCCAGGCCAUGGCAUUGGCAGAGUUGAUGGAGCUUCUCAGCUGGAUCCUGGUUAUGAGCCUUGGGCUGUCCCAGAGGUGACUGAGGAAGAAGGAGAUCACAACAUGCCAUGGAAGCUCCUCCCCUGUGUUUGACUCCCUGUUUGGUUCCUGCAGUCCAUGGUGAUCAAGCCUCUUGGUGUAAUCCUGUUCCUGAGCCUGGGGGCAAUCCCAGGGCCGUCCCUGUAGGCAGCGGCUACUUGACUUCUUGACUUGAGUCUGUCCGUGAGCCUCGGGGCGAUCCCACAGUGAAGUUCUCAGUGUGCCAGAGCAUCUGGGAGACCUCUGACCCUUUCCUGGGCCUGGU